This 728-nucleotide long non-coding RNA is filed under the name Gossypium raimondii (Peruvian cotton). RNAcentral's name for it is "long non-coding RNA (GRAI_LNC006961)". The record is from RNAcentral. Lineage: Eukaryota; Viridiplantae; Streptophyta; Magnoliopsida; Malvales; Malvaceae.
GGGCAACCUGAAAGCCUUUGUAUUUGAUCAAUUCCUUCAAUCGGUCGACAAUGAAGAGCUCAUCGUCAUCAUCAAUGUAACCGAUGUCCCCGGUGUGUAACCAGCCAUCUUUGUCAAUGGUCCUAGCUGUGGCCUCAGGGUCAUUAAGGUACCCUGCAUUCAAUGUUCAGCAACAGGGUUCAUAGUUUGUUUCCAAGCUUUCGAAUUUCAUGUGAUUUAUUUAUUUUUGACUGAUUUACCUUUCAUGAUCUGAUCUCCUCUAAUACAGAUCUCUCCGGCUUGAUUUCUUGGCAGGGAAGAACCAGUGUCGGGAUCAACAAUUUUCAUCUCUGCGUUCCUUACUACAGUCCCACAAGCCCCGGAUUUUAUUUCGAAUGGUUCCUUGGCAAAUCCUAAGCACAUUGCUAGAACUGGUCCUGCCUCGGUCAUACCGUACCCCUGUACCACGUUUUCAAUAUGUUAAUAAAAUCUGCUCCAUAAUGUCGACUCAUCACAUUCGCAUUCAAUUGAAGUCGGUGAAAAUCCAAGGUGGUUGUUGCGGGCUCAAAAAGCCUACGGUUCCAAACCGGACGGUAACAAUGGGACAAAGGAGGCUGGCCAACCGCCGCCACAAUUAAAGGGAAAAUUCAAAUGAUAACUUGAACUGUAAAGUUGACUAGAUGUGUUAGGCAAGAGGAUUGGGUCAACGAUGAUUGUCUAAGAGAUAUAUCCAUUAUCAUGGAACACAU